This 497-nucleotide ribosomal RNA is filed under the name uncultured bacterium. RNAcentral's name for it is "partial 16S ribosomal RNA". It matches the Rfam family "Bacterial small subunit ribosomal RNA", at positions 28 to 507 of the family's 1533-position model. The record is from RNAcentral.
GAUGAACGCUGGCGGCGUGCCUAAUACAUGCAAGUCGAGCGAACGGACGAGAAGCUUGCUUCUCUGAUGUUAGCGGCGGACGGGUGAGUAACACGUGGGUAACCUACCUAUAAGACUGGGAUAACUUCGGGAAACCGGAGCUAAUACCGGAUGAUAUUUUGAACCGCAUGGUUCAAAAGUGAAAGACGGUCUUGCUGUCACUUAUAGAUGGAUCCGCGCUGCAUUAGCUAGUUGGUAAGGUAACGGCUUACCAAGGCAACGAUGCAUAGCCGACCUGAGAGGGUGAUCGGCCACACUGGAACUGAGUCACGGUCCAGACUCCUACGGGAGGCAGCAGUAGGGAAUCUUCCGCAAUGGGCGAAAGCCUGACGGAGCAACGCCGCGUGAGUGAUGAAGGUCUUCGGAUCGUAAAACUCUGUUAUUAGGGAAGAACAUAUGUGUAAGUAACUGUGCACAUCUUGACGGUACCUAAUCAGAAAGCCACGGCUAACUACGUG